This 210-nucleotide long non-coding RNA is filed under the name Elaeis guineensis (African oil palm). RNAcentral describes it as "long non-coding RNA (EGUI_LNC014881)". The record is from RNAcentral. Lineage: Eukaryota; Viridiplantae; Streptophyta; Magnoliopsida; Arecales; Arecaceae.
CGGACGAUAAUGUGAAGAAGCCCAAGGCUCAAGAAGCUUAGACCCAAUGAACUAAACUCCCUUACUACCGCCGACCCCUCAUCGGCUACCCUCACGACCAAUUAGCUCUCGGCCACCAAAAGAUCGGUCGGUGCCCCGUUGUCUAAGCAACCGAGACUUCAGCCGCUAGCUUCUAGCAAGCUUCCCUCUCUAUAACUGGUUGUCCGGGCC